UUCGUGGUCGCAUUUUAACUGUAAUAACUGUCUCCGUGGGAGACAAGUGCGGCAGCUGUAUGGAGGCAAAUCUACCUCCAUACAGCUGUGGCCACACAUUUGGAGGCGAAAAUACCUAGAGGGAGCAAGAGAGUCUGGAGACGAGCCGCGCAGGGUACAGUGAGAGAGAGGCGGGCUCAGGGCUGCAGCCAGACUAGGGAGCGGGAACGUUAGACAGUAAAAAACCUUCCAGAAGCUUCCAAAAGGUGUUGGAGACGAGUCCAGUGCGUAUUGAGUCAAGGAGAGGAACGUUUCCUGACGAUCCAACGUACGAUAACGAGGGAGAUGCGGAUCAUACAGGAUCAUUCCAACAAACCAUGGGACAACCCAACGUACAGGAGAGAGGGCGGAUAUACCGAAGCGUUCCAACCUUCUACAACCUUUGGAAAGAGAGUCUGACCAACCCCAAGUGGCCUUAAACCAGACCCCGGUUCUACCUGGGCUGGCUGGCGGCCGACGCCACUCCGGACCUCCGCAGGUGCCAUUCUGAAGCGUUCCAACAUGCUCUUCAAAGCACUGGAUGAUCCAACGUCCGGGGGCGAAGGCGGGGCAGGUGCCAUACCGAAGCGUUCCAACUUACUUCUACAACCUUUGGACAAUCCAACGUCCGAGAACGAAGGUGGGGCAGGUGCCAACCGGAGCAUUCCAACGAACCAUUGGACG
This is a long non-coding RNA of Corythoichthys intestinalis (scribbled pipefish), 702 nucleotides long. RefSeq lists it as uncharacterized. The record is from RefSeq and is a predicted model, not a curated record. The transcript is spliced from 3 exons. Lineage: Eukaryota; Metazoa; Chordata; Actinopteri; Syngnathiformes; Syngnathidae.